This 473-nucleotide long non-coding RNA is filed under the name Mustela putorius furo (domestic ferret). RNAcentral describes it as "lncRNA (ENSMPUG00000024886.1)". Lineage: Eukaryota; Metazoa; Chordata; Mammalia; Carnivora; Mustelidae. The record is from RNAcentral.
GGAAGGGCAGGAGCAAAGAAUUCUUUUUCUCCAAGUGCAAAUCUGCCAACCGACCAUUUGAUCUCUUCCUCUCAAUUGGCUCCAGAGACACACGAGCUUGUUGAAUGAAGUGAUUGGGGGAGAGGGAGUGAGGAGAGGGUUAACAUUACCAAAGACCAGCUUUAUUCUGAGACCCGAGAAAGGAAGGUUGAAGGGUCCUAUGACCUAAUUCCUUUCUACCUUCAGGUCUCUAUCUUUACUUUGCCUAAGUGGUUUUCCAUGUUCCUGCCUCCUUAAUGGUAAUGAUGGAAGUCAAGAUGAAAUAAGGGAAGAGGAUGCAUCUGAGGACUGUCUUUUUGUCUUUCAACCAGGCGCCCAAGUACACCCACAAAUCAAACUCUACUCAGAAUGAUGUGAAGAUUUUGAAAGCCUCCUUUGUCCUGACGGUGCCAGCGCCUAAGCCACCCAGAACGUCCAGUUUUCCUCCAGAUCCG